Molecule: long non-coding RNA, 5567 nt
Organism: Spinacia oleracea (spinach)
Lineage: Eukaryota; Viridiplantae; Streptophyta; Magnoliopsida; Caryophyllales; Amaranthaceae
Exons: 7
Source: RefSeq, a predicted model, not a curated record
UUCUCUUUUUCCUUUUCACCCCUGGUUCUUGGAAAACCCUAAGUCUUACUCCAUUUCCGCCCCCAUUUUCUCCCUCCUCCCCUUCUUCGAUUUCCCCCAUUGAAAUUCUAUCUUCCCUUUUCAUCGUCUCUCCUGCAAUUCAUACUCCAUAGAUUUGCGAAGCUUUUCAUCUUCCACAAAAAUGGUGUCCGGUGGAUCGAUAGUGCCGCAUCAACUUCACUUUCCGAAGCUCUCUCGUCUUUCCGUCUUCAUUUUCGCUCUUUCUAAUGUUACAAGAUGUUUGUGAUUCAAAAGCUGGUGCUGAACUUCUUGACUUGGAUCUUCUCAAGGUUGUUACUGGUCCAUGAACUGUGAUCAUAUGACAUAUCAAGAUUUCUGCUGAUGUUCUACUGUUGGAAUUGUGCUUGUUUUUGAGAAAAAGUAAGAAAGAAUUCACACCAAAAUGGCAACUUAUUACCCGAGUUCAAGUGGUCAGCUAGAUGUCCUGUGAGCUUGGUGGAUAUGGAGAUGUGGUUCUCGAUGCAUGCUGUCAAAAUAUUGUUUCUGAUGAUGAGAUACGGCAUCUUGCUGUUGAGAUGUCAGUACGUCUUGUAACUUGUUUGCAGAAAUAUAACCCUCGUAGACCCUGUAUGAGCAGGCUGGAAUGUCUAGCACACUUAUCAAGUCCAAGUACCUCAAGGCAGCACAACUGUUGCUAGGCGAAGUUGUUAAUGUUCGGGAUGCUCUUAAGCGAUCUGAUUCUGGAAAAGAACAAUCUCCAAGGAAGGUAGAUGAAGGUUCCAAGGAAGUCUAAAGGCGGAUCUCAAGCCGCUUCAGAAGCUAAUGAGUCAGGCUCCUCCUCACAGGAACUAUCUCCCGCAGAACGACAAGAAUUGCAGAAUAAGUUGGAUAAGCUUCAUUCCAUGUUGGAUUAGGGCGUACGAUUGCGGAUUUAAUCAUGAAGAAAGUGCCAAACAUCAGUGGUAGGGAAGAUAUGUUCAGCAGUUUACCAGAUGAAUUGUUGAUUCUUGUACUUUCUUUGCUUCCUACCGAGGAUGCUGCUCCUAUGUGUGUGUGGUGUCUAACCAAAUGAAGCGUGUUUUCUCUUGGAUUAUGACCCUCAACUUCGAUGACUCACAUAUAUCUCAUUGUUCUGAACAUCUCUAUGCAAUUGAAUGUAUCCCCACUUUCUAGACUUUUUUGGAUGUUCUCAUCCACUUUCAAGGUAUCGACUUCGCGUUGGCGCUGCCUUCGCUUCCAGAUGCUUUCACGGUGAUGAGGCUCAUUUUUGUAAAUCAACAAUGUGUGGAUCUCUUUUCUUUUUGAGGGAGUAUAUCUCUUUUCCGUUAAGCCGUUGUGGCCUCAUGGAGCUUGACCUUCGCAUUCAGUUGAGGGAACCAGGAGAUUGUCAGCUGCCCGCAAAAAUUUUCACAUUUGAAAUGUUAGAAGUGUUGAAGAUGGAUGUCAACCUUGGUCUCAAACAAGUUUCAAAAGUGUCACCCAUUCAUCUUCCUCGCUUGAAACUGCUCCACUUUCGGGCUUCUCUCAGUAAUUCUGAGGAUUUGUUCUUGAUGUUCAAAGAUGGAUCAUAUUGGGGGAGCCAGGGACCGUUGCUGGUGUUUAUACUGGGAUGGAGUACGGAAUAAGAAGGACUCGUGGCACAAGCGUUUGGGGAUACUGGAUCAAGCAGCCAGAUGCCAAUUCCUAAUAUGACAAUAAGUUACGCACUUACGCUAUCGUGCUUGUGGAGGAGAUGAGCUGAUUCGAUUUCUUGGAUUUAUCAUGUGGUGUUACAUCUACAAAAUUGCAUCCCUUGACUCAUCAACCACUCUCCUAGCUCUUAGAUCUCCUUCUCUCCCCUUCUCUAUGUUAAAUCCUAUUCAGGUAUUUUUCUUCUUAUUUUCUCUCGAUUCCGAAUUUUCUAGGUCUACUGGUCCAGGUAUUUUUGUUUUGAUUUUGUAUGGGUUUUUUGUGUGUUUCGUGUUCUUAUCUUCUCUCGAUUCUUGGAAUUUCUAGGUGUAGGUAUUUAAAAUUUGAUUUUUAAUGAGUUUUGGUGUUUCAAUCUUCUCUCAAUUUAUGUAUUUUUUAGGUCUAGGUAUUAAAAUUCCAAUUUUUAGGGGUAUUUGGUGUUUCCGAAUCCUAUCUUCUCUCAACCUCUGAAAAUUUUCCAGGUCUAUGUAUUUCAAUUUCGACUUUUUGGGGGUUUUUUGUGAUUCAGAUUCUAAUUUAUAUACCUAACCCUAGAGCCGCUCCUUGUCAAACCUGGUAAAUUUAGCGGCUCCACUGUCAAGCUUUACGCCAUUGUUGUAGCCUCCACUAUCAAGAUUUUUUUGGUACAACUCGCUUCUUUUUUUAGUCAUUAUCUUUAGCUUUGUUGUUCAGGCACUUGAUUGUUUCCCCCUUUUUAAGGAGACCGUCUUGGAAGUCAACCAUGAACGCCUGUAUCAAGUAUUUCCUUUACUUUUACUGAAGCCCUUCAGGUUUAUUCAUGUUUUUCCGUAGGUGUAGUUAUUGUAGGUGUAGUUAGAUAAAUGUUUUUUUUGUAGGCGUAAUGUACAAAAUAUUUUAUAGUAUACAAUGCUAUGUUUUUUGUUUAGUUACAAUGUAUUAUAUAAUUGAUGGUGUUGAUAGUGUUGUAGCCAUAAGAAAGCUUCUCUAAUUGCUUUAGUUUUUCCUUAGAAAGUUAGAUUGUCCUGCAUGCCAUUGAUGUUGGUAGCUGGGAAAUUUCUGUAAUUUAGUAUUCUGUUUGAAGUUAACACUUCAUUUGUUUAUAGUUUACACCUUUGAUUAAAUAAUUUAUAAAUUAUAAUUUCAUUGUAAGUGUAUAAUGAUACACGGAGUAUUAGAUGUGCUAAAUUGUUUAUCUGGUUGACCUAUUGAUUUAAUUAGGUUAAAAUAUUAGUAAUUUCCUAAAUUUGAUUGAUUGCACAAAACCCUUACAGAGAAAUCAUAGAAAUCGAGUAAGAAAAUAAGAAAGUGGGUUAGAUCAUUAUGCAGUACUUUGAUAAUACUUAUGAAGUUAUGAGUGCAGUUAAUCUAUAUUGUAUAAUAAUUUCUGUAAUUUAAAUUUUUUAGUUUCAGUUUAUUUUUCUUCUAUAAUAUAAAGUUAUAAAGACUGUAUUACGUAUGUUAUAUAAAAAAUAGGCUUAGGGUGGGUUUUUUUUUUUUUUUUUUUAAAUCUUAAUCUUCACUUUCGUAGAUAACAAAAAGUAGUUAUUUGUUUUCAGUUUCUUAUGUUGUCAUUAUUUCAGUUUUACUUGCUUAAAGAUGCAAUAGAUUAUUAUCUUUAAUUUUGUAAUUGAGAACCACUACAUUUGAAGAAAUGUUCAACCUUUGACAUUGUAUUUCAUUUCAUGUUGAUUUUGAUGUAUGUCAAUCUUAUCUUGAGCAUGUUGGACCUUCAGCAAUGGUUUCAAAUCCGUCGUACCAUGAAACUCGCUACCAACAUUAGAUAAUCUUGAUCUGGGUGUAAUUAAGAGCCUACCUUCAGAGUUGUUUUCAGAGAUUAAUGAUAUAUAUGCAUGGAAAGAAGUUGACUGAUCUCAUCUCAAAACUCAAAGGCAAAGCUGACUUUCGUAGUCGCUGUGCUAUGCCUAUGAAGGAAGUUGAAGGUAACAAUCUGUCUAGAUGUAUCUGAAGAUUCCCAUAGUACUAUCUGACAUCAAUGAUUAUUUAGUUGAACUCCUCAAGAACAUGAAGUUCGUGCUUUAUAACAUUAUUGCCAAGGAUAAGCUAGCUGACUUUCUUGUUGCCGACACUUAAACGAUGCUUAUCAUAAGAGUCAUUUUGUAGUUUUGCUUCUUUAUUUAAUCUCUUCACAUAUUGAUCAUUCAAGUAUAAAUUCACAGCAGGCAAAAAAAAUAUAAUGUUGCAUCAGAAUAACAGCCUUUAAGGGUGUGGUGAUAUAAGGACUAAUUAUGUCAUACUUUAUAUAUGAUAGGGUUUGUUAUAGAACAAGGGUUGCAUGUUAGAACAAACAUUAAAUGCUUAUACUUAUGAGUGCAAGGGAUGAGUGUUGCAUAUUAGAAAAUCCUGAAAAAUAAUUGUUAAGAAAUUCUCUUUGAAACGUACUUCAUGACUUCUGUUUGUCUUCUGAAGUUCUUUUCAACCAUCUUCCCAUAAAGGAUCGGAGAAACUUUCUUGUUCUUUUCAACCAUCUUCCCAUAAAGGAUCGGAGAAACUUUCUUACUACUUUUUUUAUCUGGUUUAGACAUAUUUUUAUUAAAAUAAAUCUUUUAUGGAUUUUCGGAUUUUUGUCAUAAGAUUUGGAAGAAAGGGACGAAUUAUCUUUAUAUUAAAGUUUGUAACUAUGAUUUGUAAGAUCAACUGCUGAAUGCUUUCUCUAAAGAUAGUGUGACAGAAAAACUGUCUUGGGCGAUAGUUCUUCAAUACAAAAUUUUAAAAAAUAUAAUGUUCUCCCCCUGAAUUAAUGCCUUAAAAAUAAGAAGGGAACCAAGGGAUUGUCCUGACUCCUGGGUUUUGUUCCAUCUUGGAAGGUUCUUUCUUUUGGCUUUUACUUGCAGUCCCAGGGUUUGAUGAUAAAAGCAUUACUGAUCUUGUUUCUCCGUGUUCAAUUUUUCUGAAUAGCUGAUGUUAGCAGUUAGCUUUUUUAGCUUGUUACGUAUGUUGGUGGUGUCGAUGAUGGCAUUGGUACCUAAGACUUGUAUUCCAAAUUUCAACCAUUUGUUCUAUAUUUCUUGUGCUCCCAUGUAUUGCUGACAUUGGCUUUUAUCUAUGUUGUGAUUGUGACAUAUGCUAACUAUUUCCUUGUUAUUUUUAACAUGCCACACCUGUAUUAUUGAAAGCUAUGGAGGACACUCGCAGCUGCUGUAAGGUAAAGGCUUCCUCAUUGAAAUUCUUAUUAUGUUAGGCAGUAGGCACUGAUCUCUUCAUUUCACUUGUUUUUGGAGUUGGAAAUUUCUGUAUUGAUCAUACACUUUAGAAGCUAUAAGUAGAUUUGGUAAAUUAAACUAUCAAUCUGGAGGGGUUUUGUUACCAUUGGUGUUUGUGUAUCAAAUGAGCUCGAAUUCCAGCGUGUACGUUGCAGUCUUCCACUCUCUCCUCACCGGGCUUUUGUGCAUGGCCCUUAUCCUCGUUGCUAGAGACUAUUUUGCCCGUUAUUUACACUGACGGCAAGGAAUUGCAACAAGCAACUGCUAAAUUAUCCUGGCUUCUUGGUGUGACAAUGGUUCUUAACAGUGUUCAGCCUGUCGUUUUUUGCAAUUCCUGCUAUGUUUUUGCCUUUUUUUCCUUUUUAUCGACGUGCAACUGAUAGAUACUCUCUUAAACACCCUGUACUUGAGUACUUCAUAGUUCCGUAAUUAGUUUCUAUAUGGUAGUUGUAGGAGUUGACAUUGGAGGGGGUGACAAGCAACUGUGGCAAUUAUAAAUGUGGUCUGCUAUUAUGCUUUUGAGCUACCUCUUGGAUACAUUAUCGGCUAUGUAGCAAAAUUUUGGUGUAAUGGUACUGAAUAUUAUAUAUUCCUUUCCAUUUGUAAUUUUGGAGUAAUAGGACUGAAUAUAUAUUGAAUAUAAGGUACUGAAUGUAUAUAUUCCUUUCCAUUUGUACUUAAGAUUAUAGUUCCUCA